UUUACAAAAGAUGUCGCUUGGCGCAACAGAAUGUGUUUUCAAGUGUUGUAUUAAUUGUGAAAUUUUAUAUUUUUUAAAAUGCGUUACGCAGUGUUCGGGUGUAAUAAUAAUAAUGGUAAAAAUUGUGCUACGAAAUGGAGAUUUUUCCAUUUCCCUAAAGAUAAAGCAGUAGUAAAACAAUGGAUUCAUUUUUGUCGUAAUACGGACGGAUGUUAAAAAUGCAUGCAUUUGUGAAGUGCACUUCGCGCCAGAAGCCUUCAAAAGAAACUUGCAGUUUGAAAUGGGUUUAAGUUCGCGGAAUCCAACUAAGUUGCUACCUAGCGCUUUUCCCACGUUAACCACUGCUCCUGCAGAGGCUAAUGGAUGGCAGAAAAGAAUGGAGUCUCGUUCCAAAAAAGAGAUGUUAACAACAAUGUUGUAGAAUACCGCCCUGUUGAAGUAAUUCAAGAAGACGAGGUUGGAGAGGUACCUCAAACUGCAGGAGAGGAGGGCAUCGAUGAGAAAGACGAGAAAAUACUGCAUUUGGAAACAGAAAUACAAAGGCUGAAUAAUGUUGUUAGAACUUUGAUAAGUGCAAAAACGACCAGUUAGCAGAAAUUAAACGCCUUUGGAUUUCCAUUAAAACCUCGGAAUUCCACAGUAAUGAUUUGGAGCAAAACCUUAGCUGCAUUUUCAACAACGGCUAGGUAAUAUUUUUCAACGUGUGUCAGUUGAUCUAAACUCCACUUACCCAACUGAAAAAAAUGAUGACUUAGAGAUUCUCAACAACGACGGACCUGACAAUUUGGCAGGGUACAUCUGCCACAAACUUGGUAAAGUCAACCCCGAAAUUUCAUUGCGCAAUCUUGUUUCUGUCAUUCUUGGGAUACGCUUAUAUACUCGUCCACGUAUGUCAUGAUGCCAGAUUACGAUAGAAGUGUUAAGAUCACUAAUACUUAUGCGCGGAGUGAUUUACAACUUACUAUGGCAAACUGAUAGCGACUGCAAAAAAUAGGAGAGAUGGUAAUGAUUUCAGUUGACACUUGCCAAGUUCGGUUGUUCCCCGAAAUACACUUUCAAUUUAAUGGAAAAUAAACGAGCAUCAAUCUCUGCUUGUGCAUUGUACACCAGAGAUAAAGAGAUGUCCAACUCAUCUCUUAUUGGAAGUGAGAGGACAAUUGCUAAACAUCAAAACCUCCUGAACUCGAACAGCUGAUUUUGACGUUUAGCAAUUGGAAAAGAGAGACGACGGACGGAGAAAGUGUGUUGCUGGCUGCAGCGAGGAAGAGUUUUUAAUUUUCCAAACAGUGGAACGAAUCUCGAACGG
Long non-coding RNA from Bactrocera neohumeralis, 1306 nucleotides. RefSeq lists it as uncharacterized. The record is from RefSeq and is a predicted model, not a curated record. The transcript is spliced from 5 exons. NCBI's taxonomy places the organism in Eukaryota, Metazoa, Arthropoda, Insecta, Diptera, Tephritidae.